RNAcentral lists this ribosomal RNA (492 nucleotides) under uncultured bacterium. RNAcentral describes it as "partial 16S ribosomal RNA". It matches the Rfam family "Bacterial small subunit ribosomal RNA", at positions 29 to 507 of the family's 1533-position model. The record is from RNAcentral.
AGUGAACGCUGGCGGUAGGCCUAACACAUGCCAGUCGAACGGCAGCACAGUAAGAGCUUGCUCUUACGGGUGGCGAGUGGCGGACGGGUGAGGAAUACAUCGGAAUCUACUUUUUCGUGGGGGAUAACGUAGGGAAACUUACGCUAAUACCGCAUACGACCUACGGGUGAAAGCAGGGGAUCUUCGGACCUUGCGCGAUUGAAUGAGCCGAUGUCGGAUUAGCUAGUUGGCGGGGUAAAGGCCCACCAAGGCGACGAUCCGUAGCUGGUCUGAGAGGAUGAUCAGCCACACUGGAACUGAGACACGGUCCAGACUCCUACGGGAGGCAGCAGUGGGGAAUAUUGGACAAUGGGCGCAAGCCUGAUCCAGCCAUACCGCGUGGGUGAAGAAGGCCUUCGGGUUGUAAAGCCCUUUUGUUGGGAAAGAAAAGCAGCAGGUUAAUACCCCGCUGUUCUUACGGUACCCAAAGAAUAAGCACCGGCUAACUUCGUG